UACGUAGGGGGCAAGCGUUGUCCGGAAUCAUUGGGCGUAAAGCGCGUGUAGGCGGCUCGGUAAGUCUGCUGUGAAAGUCCAGGGCUCAACCCUGGGAUGCCGGUGGAUACUGUCGAGCUCGAGUCCGGAAGAGGCGAGUGGAAUUCCUGGUGUAGCAGUGAAAUGCGCAGAUAUCAGGAGGAACACCAAUGGCGAAGGCAGCUCGCUGGGACGUGACUGACGCUGAGACGCGAAAGCGUGGGGAGCAAACAGG
RNAcentral lists this ribosomal RNA (253 nucleotides) under uncultured bacterium. RNAcentral describes it as "partial 16S ribosomal RNA". It matches the Rfam family "Bacterial small subunit ribosomal RNA", at positions 524 to 776 of the family's 1533-position model. The record is from RNAcentral.